UACGUAGGGGGCAAGCGUUGUCCGGAAUCAUUGGGCGUAAAGCGCGUGUAGGCGGUUACGUAAGUCUGCUGUGAAAGUCGGAGGCUCAACCUUCGAAAGCCGGUGGAUACUGCGUGACUAGAGUACGGAAGAGGAGAGUGGAAUUCCUGGUGUAGCGGUGAAAUGCGCAGAUAUCUGGAGGAAUACCGGUGGCGAAGGCGGCAUCCUGGACCGACAUUGACGCUGAACGGCGAAAGCUAGGGGAGCAAACGGG
Molecule: ribosomal RNA, 253 nt
Filed under: uncultured bacterium
Lineage: Bacteria
Description: partial 16S ribosomal RNA
Rfam family: Bacterial small subunit ribosomal RNA
Source: RNAcentral